Molecule: ribosomal RNA, 1359 nt
Filed under: uncultured Verrucomicrobiota bacterium
Lineage: Bacteria; Pseudomonadati; Verrucomicrobiota
Description: uncultured Verrucomicrobia bacterium 16S ribosomal RNA
Rfam family: Bacterial small subunit ribosomal RNA
Source: RNAcentral
GAGUGGCGUAAGGGUGCGUAACACGUGGGUAACUUGCCGUGAAGUCCGGGAUAAUUUGCUGAAAGGCGGACUAAUACCGGAUGGAAUUGCGGAAGGACAUCCUUCUGCAUUCAAAAUCGGGGACCGCAAGGCCUGAUGCUUCACGAUGGGCCCGCGUCCUAUCAGCUAGUUGGUGAGGUAAAGGCCCACCAAGGCGAAGACGGGUAGCUGGUCUGAGAGGACGACCAGCCACACUGGAACUGAGACACGGUCCAGACACCUACGGGUGGCAGCAGUCGAGAAUUUUUCUCAAUGGGCGAAAGCCUGAAGGAGCGACGCCGCGUGGGGGAUGAAUGGCUUCGGCCCGUAAACCCCUGUCAUUCGUGAACAAACCUGCUCAUCGAAUAGGUGAGUCGUUGAUAGUAGCGGAAGAGGAAGGGACGGCUAACUCUGUGCCAGCAGCCGCGGUAAUACAGAGGUCCCGAGCGUUGUUCGGAUUCACUGGGCGUAAAGGGUGCGUACGUGGCGGAGUAAGUUCGAUGUGAAAUCUCUGAGGCUCAACUCGGAAACGGCGCCGAAUACUAUUCUGCUAGAGGGUCGGAUGGGAGACUGGGAUUCUCGGUGUAGCAGUGAAAUGCGUAGAUAUCGAGAGGAACACCGGUGGCGAAGGCGAGUCUCUGGACGACACCUGACACUGAGGCACGAAAGCUAGGGGAGCAAACAGGAUUAGAUACCCUGGUAGUCCUAGCCCUAAACGGUGCACAUUUGCUGUGAGCGGAAUCGACCCCGCUCGUGGCGAAGCCAACGCGUUAAAUGUGCCGCCUGGGAAAUACGGUCGCAAGAUUAAAACUCAAAGAAAUUGACGGGGGCCUGCACAAGCGGUGGAGUAUGUGGCUUAAUUCGAUGCAACGCGAAGAACCUUACCUGGCCUUGACAUGCGGGUAGUAGAAGGAUGAAAAUCUGACGGACCCGAAAGGGAAGCCCGCACAGGUGCUGCAUGGCUGUCGUCAGCUCGUGUCGUGAGAUGUUGGGUUAAGUCCCGCAACGAGCGCAACCCUUGUGUCCUGUUGCUACUCCCGCGAGAGCGGGAAGCACUCUGGACAGACUGCCUCGCUUAAACGAGGAGGAAGGUGGGGAUGACGUCAAGUCAGUAUGGCCCUUACGGCCAGGGCUGCACACGUACUACAAUGCUCGGCACAAAGAGAGGCAAAAUCGCAAGAUUAAGCAAAUCUCCAAAAACCUAGCUCAGUUCAGAUUGUCGGCUGCAACUCGCCGACAUGAAGCUGGAAUCGCUAGUAAUGGCGCAUCUAGAUACGGCGCCGUGAAUACGUUCCCAGGCCUUGUACACACCGCCCGUCACAUCAUGAAAGCCGGUUGUAC